This 472-nucleotide ribosomal RNA is filed under the name uncultured bacterium. RNAcentral describes it as "SSU rRNA". It matches the Rfam family "Bacterial small subunit ribosomal RNA", at positions 26 to 518 of the family's 1533-position model. The record is from RNAcentral.
AGGACGAACGCUGGCGGCGUGCUUAACACAUGCAAGUCGAGCGGAAAGGCCCUUCGGGGUACUCGAGCGGCGAACGGGUGAGUAACACGUGAGUAACCUGCCCCUAGCUUCGGGAUAGCUCCGGGAAACCGGAAUUAAUACCGGAUAUGACCACGGCCGACAUCGGCCACGGUGGAAAGAUUCAUCGGCUAGGGAUGGGCUCGCGGCCUAUCAGCUUGUUGGUGGGGUAACAGCCUACCAAGGCGACGACGGGUAGCCGGCCUGAGAGGGCGACCGGCCACACUGGGACUGAGACACGGCCCAGACUCCUACGGGAGGCAGCAGUGGGGAAUAUUGCGCAAUGGGCGAAAGCCUGACGCAGCGACGCCGCGUGGGGAUGAAGGCCUUCGGGUUGUAACCCUUUCGGCAGGGACGAAGCGAAAGUGACGGUACCUGCAGAAGAAGCGCCGGCUAACUACGUGCCAGCAGCCGC